This 421-nucleotide ribosomal RNA is filed under the name uncultured archaeon. Its description in RNAcentral is "partial 16S ribosomal RNA". It matches the Rfam family "Archaeal small subunit ribosomal RNA", at positions 323 to 746 of the family's 1478-position model. The record is from RNAcentral.
CUACGGGUCGCAGCAGUUAAGAAUAAUCUACAAUGCGCGCAAGCGUGAUAGUUUGAGCCAGAGUGCUUUUCAUUUGAAAAGCUUUUGCCGAAUCUAAAACGUUCGGCGAAUAAGGACUGGGUAAGACGAGUGCCAGCCGCCGCGGUAAUACUCGCGGUCCAAGUCGCAGCCAUUUUUAUUGGGUCUAAAACAUCCGUAGCUUGCUUGAUAAGUCUCUUGUGAAAUUUUACAUCUCAAGUGUGAAGCGCGCAAAAGGUACUAUCAAGCUAGAGACUGGAAGACGUAAGAAGUAUGUUCAGAGUAGCGGUAAUAUGUGUUAAUCCUGGACAGACUAACAAUAGCGAAGGCAUCUUACGAGGACAGUUCUGACAGUAAGGGAUGAAGGCCAGGGGCGCAAAACGGAUUAGAUACCCCUGUAGUC